AUGGAGGUGGACCCGUCGCCGUCCCCGUCCCCGCCGCCGCCGCCAAUGUCGACGCCGGGCUACUUCGACCCGGAGUCCUCCCGCCUCCGGGAGGAGUACCGCCGCUACAGAAAGAGACUAUCUUCUUCAAACGACUCCCCAAUGUUGGGGACCUCAUUCUCCAGAUUCUCGGAAGCAAGGGCAUUGCAUGAUGGAAGCAGCAUACCUAGGCGGCCCAAUGCUGGUCUACUACUUGAAGAAGUCAAGCAGGAGGCUGCUGAUUAUUCCGACAUUGAUGGCUUGAAUGGACCGAAACUGCUGGAUGGUGGUUCAGGUAGGAAGGCGGCAAGAUCAACGUUGAAUCUAGUCAAGCUGGAGGACGAUAUGCCACGAGAAGGAGAAACAACUUUUACAGCGUUUGCAUCCCUUCUUGAUUCAGCAAUACAAGGAUUGAUGCCCUUCCCAGACGUGAUUUUACAAUUUGAGAGGACAUGUAGAAACGCUUCAGAGUCACUAAGGUAUGCUGCCAUAGGAAAGGUUCGGAUGGUGGAGGAUAAACUUAUGCAGCAAAAAGCACAACUAUUACUGGAUGAAGCUGCUUCUUGGUCACUUCUUUGGUACCUCUAUGGGAAAGCAAAUGAAGAGCUUCCUGAAGGACUAUUCAUGUCACCAACUACAUCCCAUCAGGAGGCUUGCCGCUAUGUUGCAACAGAUCUUACAGCACAAUUGUGUCUGCGGAUUGUACUUUGGCUUGAAGGACUUGCUUCUGAAAGUCUUGAUUUGGAGAAAAAGGUGAGAGGAUCUCAUGUUGGUUCAUAUCUACCAAGUUCUGGUGUUUGGCAUCGUACACAGAGGUACCUAAAGAGAAAGAAUAAUGAUUCUAAUAUAGUGAAGCAUGUGGAUUUUGAUGCUCCAACUCGUGAAGUAGCCCAACUUCUUCCUGAUGACAAGAAGCAAGAUGAAUUGCUUUUAGAAGAUAUCUGGACUCUCUUAAGAGCUGGAAGAUUAGAAGAGGCAUGUGAAUUGUGCCGAUCUGCUGGACAGUCAUGGAGAGCAGCCACUCUUUGCCCCUUUGGUGGCAUAGAUCUGUUUCCUUCCCUGGAGGCCAUGCUCAAGAAUGGAAAUUCUAGAACACUACAAGCAAUUGAACUGGAAAGUGGUAUUGGACGGCAGUGGCGUCUUUGGAAAUGGGCAUCCUAUUGUGCUUCAGAGAAAAUUGCUGAACACGAUGGUGGCCAGUAUGAGAUGGCUGUAUAUGCUUUACAGUGCAGUAACUUGAAGCGUACCUUGCCAAUCUGUACUGACUGGGAGUCAGCUUGCUGGGCAAUGGCUAAAUCCUGGCUAGAUGUUAAAGUGGAUAUAGAAUUAUCUCAAUAUCAAACCAGCAGACCAGAAGAGAAAGAGUUUGAUGAUGAUAUGAAUGGAACCCAGCUUGGCCCAGAAAAUUGGCCAUAUCAUGUUCUUGAUCAGCAACCUCGUGAUAUAGCUGCACUUCUGCAGAAACUCCACUCAAGUGACCUUGUUCAUGAAACUGUUUCUCGAGCAUGUCGGGAGCAGCAUCGACAAAUUGAGAUGAAUCUCAUGAGUGGAAAUUUAGCUCAUCUUCUUGACCUUCUAUGGUCAUGGUUGUCUUCCAUCGAAGAGGGUCAAAACGUCUUGAGGUCCCGUGAUGAUUCCGACAUGAUACGUUUUGGGGCACAUAUUGUUCUUGUUUUGAGAUACCUUCUCAGCAAUGAAAUGGAAGACGAGUUUGAGGAAAAGCUGGUUACUGUCGGUGAUCUCAUCAUCAACAUGUACGUGAGAUACUUGUUUUCAGAGGGGCAGGAAGAGUUGGUUGGAGUAUAUGCCUCUCAGCUUGAACGUGAUGUUUGCAUUGAUUUGUUUGUGGACAUGAUGGAACUAAGGUUAAAUAGCAGCUUGCAUACCAUGUACAAGCUUUUCCUCUCUGCUGUGGAGUAUCUGCCAUUCUCAUCUGGAGAUGUAUCCAAGGCUUGUUUUGAAGAGAUAAUUGAGAGAGUUCUUUCAAGGUCUCGAGAAAUAAAACCCCAUCAGUACAAUGAAGAUUUCUCUGAUGUCGCAGAACAGCAUCACCUGCAAGCACUUCAGAAGGCAAUGAUCAUUCAGUGGCUUUGCUUCACACCACCAUCCUCAAUUCCAGACUUUGAGAUGAUCACAGGGAAACUUCUGAUACGGGCGUUGAUGCAUAGCAACACACUAUUCAGAGAAUUUUCCUUAAUAUCAAUGAGGAGAGUCCCUGAACUACCAGUAGGACCACAUAAGUUGCUUGCCAUCCUUGCCGAACCAUUGAAACAAAAGGAAAAUUUAUUUUCGCUUGAAGAUCAAGAGGUGUCUGAUAACUUAGAAGAAUUUGAAGAUUGGCACGAAUAUUACUCCCUGGAUGCAACAUACCGGGGUUGGCUUAGAUGCGAGAUGGAGAAUUCUUCUGUUCCCCCUGAAAUGCUUUCGGCAGAAGAAAAGGAUCAAGCUGUUGCUGCAGCGACACAAACACUGGAGUUAGCAUUCUUGUUAUUAGAAAGGGAAGAGAGACCAUGGUUAAAUGCUGUCGAGACAAGCCCAUUUGAGUCAUCAGAGCUUGUUUUCCUUGAGUUGCAUGCAACGGCAAUACUCUGUCUACCUUCUGGGGAAUGCAUGACACCAGAUGCAACAUCAUGCACGGCUCUGACUAGUGCACUUUAUUCAACUAUCAGCGAAGAGGAUGUGCUGCAUCGCCAGCUGAAGGUGGAAGUUAAGGUCUCGUCUAAAGAUCCUUGCUGUAUUGAAGUUGCGCUCCGUUGCUUAGCAACAGAAGGUGAUGGGUUUGGGCUUCAUGAAGCCAAUGAUGGAGGUCUUCUUGCUGCAAUUAUGGCCGCAGGCUUUAAAGGUGAACUCAAUCGGUUUCAACCUGGAGUUUCGAUGGAAAUUUCACGACUUGAUGCUUGGUAUUCUGAUUGUCAUGGUUCGGUUGAAAGUACUGCUGCUUAUAUCAUUCGAGGACUUUGCCGAAGAUGCUGCCUGCCGGAAACAAUUCUACGCUCCAUGCAGGCAUCCAUCUCCCUUUCCGAAGCUGGCGAUUCUCUAGACCGUUGUGAUAAACUCAUCGAGUUAGUUGCUUCAUCAGAUUCUGGGAUGAUGCACUUGUUCAGCCAGCAGCAGUUACAGGAGUUCCUGAUUUUUGAGAGGGAGUGCUUCAUAUGUAAAAUGGAGCUUGAGGAAGAGCAGAGGCCUGCUGAUGGCUAA
RNAcentral lists this ribosomal RNA (3216 nucleotides) under Triticum aestivum (bread wheat). Its description in RNAcentral is "partial small subunit ribosomal RNA". Lineage: Eukaryota; Viridiplantae; Streptophyta; Magnoliopsida; Poales; Poaceae. The record is from RNAcentral.